GGAGCGCACGAGGAGGAGGAGGGGUGUUGGCGCGUGUGUUUCACACUCGCCUCCCUGGCGUUCGCGAGCUGACCCGAGGAGUGGUAAUCUCACGCGGCAAAGCAGGGAGGAAGAAAAAAAGGAGACAAAAGAACAAAAGACUUUUAUCUGGGCAGAAAGUCACAAUGCCUAGGGGCCAAACGUUUGUGAGCGGUGAAGUUGGUUGACUGCUCAAGUUUGCAGAGCUUCAGCAGUAGGUUACUUUCUCUGGACGGUUUCUGCUAUCUUUGCUCUUUUCGAGCUCUAGCAUCGUUUGCAAAUAUUUCAAUGACUUGGACCAAGUGCAGAGUUUUACUUCAUAGCUCACCCUUUUAGAUUCGGAGUACAGAAAAAGGCAUCGUGGAGUUUUAGGGUUGGUUUUCAUCAAUCCUUUCCAAGGCCUUUACUUUCUACAUGGAGAAACGUGUAGAGGGAGAGGUUGUGAAUUGCCAAAGACAUGCCGUUAGAUUCCAGAUCUCCUGUGUUUGACCAAAGUUCUUGACCAAAGUUCUUAAUAUCUUAUUUGAACCAAAUUAUAUUGUAUUUGGAAUAUUGGGUAGCCACAGGCUCUUGGACUUCAGUGAUAUUCCAAACUAUUGAUGGCAAAUGACAUUAUGGAGAUCUGAGUAAAAGAAAGUCGUUGGGAUUUUUUCCUCAUUAUAUUACAAACUCUUGAGAAUCCAGACUAAAUUUUAAAUGACUUGUUGUCACACUCAACACUUUGAAUAUAGUAGACAAUAAAGAUUAGGCGAAUGAGACCAGGCGCGGUGGCUUACGCCUGUAAUCCCAGCACUUUGGGAGGCCGAGGCAGGCAGAUCAUUUGAGAUCAGGAGUUCGAGACCAACCUGGCCAACAUGGUAAAACCCCGUCUCUACUAAAAAUACAAAAAUUAGCUAGGGGUGGUGGUGCCCGCCUAUAGUCCCAGCUGCUCCAGAGCCUGAGGCAGGAGAAUCUCUUAAACCCAGGAGGCAGACGUUGCAGUGUUGCAGUGUUGCAGUGAGCCGAGAUGCCACCACUGCACUUCAGCCUGAGCAACAAAGCAAGACUCUGUCUCAAAAAAAAAAAAAAAAAAGAUUAGGUGAAUGAAAAUUCUAUAUGGCAAUAAUUAAGAAGAUUUCAUGCAAGAAAGAUUUUGCUUAAUUUUAAAUAACAAUAAACUAACAAAAAAAGGUCACUGAAGUGACAUCAAAUACAACAGCAUUAACUAGUAAAGCUGAACACACCAUUUAUAACACAUCAUAGGCACAGAACUU
This 1271-nucleotide non-coding RNA is filed under the name Pan troglodytes (chimpanzee). Lineage: Eukaryota; Metazoa; Chordata; Mammalia; Primates; Hominidae. The record is from RNAcentral.